This 316-nucleotide unclassified non-coding RNA is filed under the name uncultured Tomentella. RNAcentral describes it as "sequence contains 5.8S rRNA gene". The record is from RNAcentral. Lineage: Eukaryota; Fungi; Basidiomycota; Agaricomycetes; Thelephorales; Thelephoraceae.
GAACGCACCUUGCGCCCUUUGGCUAUUCCGAAGGGCAUGCCUGUUUGAGUAUCAUGAACACUUCAACUCUCAUGGUUUGCCAUGAUGAGCUUGGACUUUGGAGGUCUUACCGGCCUGUGGUCGGCUCCUCUCAAAUGGAUCAGCUUGCCAGUGUUUGGUGGCAUCAUGGGUGUGAUAACUAUCUACGCCUGUGGUUUUCCACCGGAUAACCUUCAGUGAUGGAGGUUCGCUGGAGCUCAUAAAUGUCUCUCCUCACCGAGGACAGCUCUUUGAACGUUUGAUCUCAAAUCAGGUAGGACUACCCGCUGAACUUAAG